RNAcentral lists this ribosomal RNA (522 nucleotides) under uncultured haloarchaeon. RNAcentral's name for it is "bacterial SSU rRNA". It matches the Rfam family "Archaeal small subunit ribosomal RNA", at positions 1 to 526 of the family's 1478-position model. The record is from RNAcentral. Lineage: Archaea; Methanobacteriati; Methanobacteriota; Halobacteria; Halobacteriales; Halobacteriaceae.
AUUCCGGUUGAUCCUGCCGGAGGACAUUGCUAUUGGGAUUCGAUUUAGCCAUGCUAGUCGAACGAGUUCAGACUCGCGGCGAAUAGCUCAGUAACACGUGGCCAAGCUCCCCUUCAGUCAGCGAUACCCUCGGGAAACUGAGGUUAACAGCUGAUACAAAACGCCAGCUGGAAUGCGGCGUUUCAGAAAGACAUCGCUGAAGGAUGCGGCUGCGGCCGAUUAGGUAGACGGUGGGGUAACGGCCCACCGUGCCAGUAAUCGGUACGGGUGAUGAGAGUCAGAGCCCGGAGACGGAAUCUGAGACAAGAUUCCGGGCCCUACGGGGCGCAGCAGGCGCGAAACCUUUACACUGCACGGAAGUGCGAUAGGGGAAUCCCAAGUGCGAGGGCAUAUUAGCCCUCGCUUUUCUCGACUGUAAGGUGGUCGACGAAUAAGAGCUGGGCAAGACCGGUGCCAGCCGCCGCGGUAAUACCGGCAGCUCAAGUGAUGUCCCAUAUUAUUGGGCCUAAAGCGUCCGUAGCU